CAUCAUAGAAUCCUUCAUCUCUCAGAUCAAACCAUAUAAUUGUUCCUUAUCACUUGUCAACAUUCAAAAAAAGAGAUUAGUUUCUGUCUUUUUGACUAUUCUCCACGCACAUUCUUUCCACAUCUAGCUUCUUCACGUGGAUUAGUGUUAUUUGACACACAGAUUCUCACAUCCAAAUACAAAAAUGGAGUCACAGGUGGACGGUGCAAAGCAAUUGUACCCUUUAAAAAAGAAGAGGCAUGUUGAUUUAUCUAUUUUGGUGCCAUGAACACCUCUUAACUACCUUCCAAUUGCUUACAAUUUUUUAUCUUCUUUCUAGGGUUGGCCUCGCAUCUGUCAUCAAGCUUUUUCUCUACCACUCUUGAAUUUACUAUCCAUGUCUUUUGGCUUUUCUCCACGUGGAAUGACUAGGCUCUCACUCUCUUGGUAGAUAGAGUGGUGCGAUUUACGAAAAAGAAGAAUAAUCAUAGGGUACUUAGUGGGAUAAGCAUGCCUCAAUGACAGAAUGAUGCCUCCUGGGACCAGUUCUUAAGGGUCCAAGGUGGUUAUAUACUAGGAAUGUUGGACAGACUGAACCAAGACAAAAUCCCCACUUCUAGUAGUUGUUUGUUUCUAUCUGAAAUAAUAGCUCUUUGCAGCACUAAAACAUGCAGAAAAGAAAGAGGAAGAAGAAGAAGAUGGUGAUGAGAAUUUCAAGUGUUGGAUAAUGUUAUCUACCCUCUUCUUCCUUCACGGGAUGCAAGGGGACACAAGGCAAGUCAUUGAGGCAAAGGGAAGGCCAAGCCUUUCUUCCGGUUUUCUUAAUUAGUUCUUUUGUGUUCAUGUCAUCCUUGGCAUAAACUGGUUAUGUUUUCAGUCAUGAAUUCUGUACUGGUGGAUUUUCUACUGUAAAAUGUGGUUGCUUCCAUAAUGCUAGAGUGGAUUUUCUACUU
Populus nigra (black poplar) is the source of this 932-nucleotide long non-coding RNA. RefSeq lists it as uncharacterized. The record is from RefSeq and is a predicted model, not a curated record. Lineage: Eukaryota; Viridiplantae; Streptophyta; Magnoliopsida; Malpighiales; Salicaceae. The transcript is spliced from 2 exons.